This 387-nucleotide unclassified non-coding RNA is filed under the name uncultured Phycisphaeraceae bacterium. Its description in RNAcentral is "contains 16S-23S intergenic spacer region". Lineage: Bacteria; Pseudomonadati; Planctomycetota; Phycisphaerae; Phycisphaerales; Phycisphaeraceae. The record is from RNAcentral.
UCCGGUUUAACACCGGCAGUCUCACUAGAGUCCCCGGCAUGACCCGUUGGCAACUAGUGAUAGGGGUUUCGCUCGUUAAGCGACUUAACGCGACACUUCACAGCACGAGCUGACGACAGCCAUGCAGCACCUGUGUACGUUCCACUACAAGAGUGUCAUCCGCCUUUCAGCGGACUAAUCCGUACAUGUCAAGCCCAGGAUAAGGUUCUUCGCGUUGCUUCGAAUUGAGCCACAUGCUCCACCGCUUGUGUGAGCCCCCGUCAAUUCCUUUGAGUUUUAGCCUUGCGACCGUACUCCCCAGGCGGUGCACUCAACGUUUUUACUUCGACCGAAAAAGGCGUCAGUACCUCCUCCGGUCUAGUGCACAUUGUUUAGGGCGUGGACUAC